GAUGAAGAACGCAGCAAAAUGCGAUAAGUAAUGUGAAUUGCAGAAUUCAGUGAAUCAUCGAAUCUUUGAACGCACAUUGCGCCCGCCAGUAUUCUAGUGGGCAUGCCUGUUCGAGCGUCAUUUCAACCCUUAAGCCUCUGUUGCUUAGCGUUGGGAGCCUACCUACCCGGUAGAUCCUCAAAGUUAGCUGGCAGGGUCGAGGUUCGCCCUAAGCGUAGUAGUUCUUUCUCGCUUCUGCGGCUGCCUAGGCCAUCGCCACAAGCCUUUUAAACUUCAAUGGUUGACCUCGGAUCAGGUAGGAAUACCCGCUGAACUUAAGCAUAUCAAUAAGCGGAGGA
Molecule: unclassified non-coding RNA, 338 nt
Filed under: soil metagenome
Description: partial contains 5.8S ribosomal RNA, internal transcribed spacer 2, and large subunit ribosomal RNA
Rfam family: 5.8S ribosomal RNA (bases 1-120)
Source: RNAcentral